CAUGCAAGUCGAACGAUGAUCCGCUGCUUGCUCCGGGGAUUAGUGGCGAACGGGUGAGUAACACGUGAGUAACCUGCCCUUAACUCUGGGAUAAGCCUGGGAAACUGGGUCUAAUACCGGAUAUGACUCCUCAUCGCAUGGUGGGGGGUGGAAAGCUUUUGUGGUUUUGGAUGGACUCGCGGCCUAUCAGCUUGUUGGUGAGGUAAUGGCUCACCAAGGCGACGACGGGUAGCCGGCCUGAGAGGGUGACCGGCCACACUGGGACUGAGACACGGCCCAGACUCCUACGGGAGGCAGCAGUGGGGAAUAUUGCACAAUGGGCGCAAGCCUGAUGCAGCGACGCCGCGUGAGGGAUGACGGCCUUCGGGUUGUAAACCUCUUUCAGUAGGGAAGAAGCGAAAGUGACGGUACCUGCAGAAGAAGCGCCGGCUAACUACGUGCCAGCAGCCGCGGUAAUACGUAGGGCGCAAGCGUUAUCCGGAAUUAUUGGGCGUAAAGAGCUCGUAGGCGGUUUGUCGCGUCUGCCGUGAAAGUCCGGGGCUCAACUCCGGAUCUGCGGUGGGUACGGGCAGACUAGAGUGAUGUAGGGGAGACUGGAAUUCCUGGUGUAGCGGUGAAAUGCGCAGAUAUCAGGAGGAACACCGAUGGCGAAGGCAGGUCUCUGGGCAUUAACUGACGCUGAGGAGCGAAAGCAUGGGGAGCGAACAGGAUUAGAUACCCUGGUAGUCCAUGCCGUAAACGUUGGGCACUAGGUGUGGGGGACAUUCCACGUUUUCCGCGCCGUAGCUAACGCAUUAAGUGCCCCGCCUGGGGAGUACGGCCGCAAGGCUAAAACU
Molecule: ribosomal RNA, 836 nt
Filed under: Pseudarthrobacter oxydans
Lineage: Bacteria; Bacillati; Actinomycetota; Actinomycetes; Micrococcales; Micrococcaceae
Description: bacterial SSU rRNA
Rfam family: Bacterial small subunit ribosomal RNA
Source: RNAcentral